This 72-nucleotide transfer RNA is filed under the name Ovis aries (sheep). It matches the Rfam family "tRNA". Rfam says of the family: Transfer RNA (tRNA) molecules are approximately 80 nucleotides in length. Their secondary structure includes four short double-helical elements and three loops (D, anti-codon, and T loops). Further hydrogen bonds mediate the characteristic L-shaped molecular structure. tRNAs have two regions of fundamental functional importance: the anti-codon, which is responsible for specific mRNA codon recognition, and the 3' end, to which the tRNAs corresponding amino acid is attached (by aminoacyl-tRNA synthetases). tRNAs cope with the degeneracy of the genetic code in two manners: having more than one tRNA (with a specific anti-codon) for a particular amino acid; and 'wobble' base-pairing, i.e. permitting non-standard base-pairing at the 3rd anti-codon position. Lineage: Eukaryota; Metazoa; Chordata; Mammalia; Artiodactyla; Bovidae. The record is from Rfam by way of RNAcentral.
UCCCUAGUGGCUCAGAGGUUAAAGGGUCUGCCUCUAAUGCAGGAGACCCAGGUUCGAUCCCUGGGUCAGGAA